Molecule: ribosomal RNA, 712 nt
Filed under: Trimmatothelopsis mexicana
Lineage: Eukaryota; Fungi; Ascomycota; Lecanoromycetes; Acarosporales; Acarosporaceae
Description: Trimmatothelopsis sp. EH-2022d partial large subunit ribosomal RNA
Rfam family: Eukaryotic large subunit ribosomal RNA
Source: RNAcentral
AAUCGUUGAAAGGGAAGCGCUUGCGACCAGACUUGCCUGCGGGUGAUCAGCCGGUGCUCUCACCGGUGCACUCGCCCGUGAUCAGGCCAGCAUCGGUUCAGGCGGUCGGAUAAAGGCCCCCGGAAUGUGACUUCCUUCGGGGAGUGUUAUAGCCGAGGGUGCCAUGCGACCCGCCUGGACCGAGGACCGCGCUUCGUGCUAGGAUGCUGGCGUAAUGGUCGUAAGCGACCCGUCUUGAAACACGGACCAAGGAGUCUAACAUCUAUGCGAGUGUUCGGGUGUCAAACCCGUGCGCGUAAUGAAAGUGAACGGAGGUGGGAACCCGUAACGGGGCGCACCAUCGACCGAUCCUGAUGUCUUCGGAUGGAUUUGAGUAAGAGCAUAGCUGUUGGGACCCGAAAGAUGGUGAACUAUGCCUGAAUAGGGUGAAGCCAGAGGAAACUCUGGUGGAGGCUCGCAGCGGUUCUGACGUGCAAAUCGAUCGUCAAAUUUGGGUAUAGGGGCGAAAGACUAAUCGAACCAUCUGAACCUGCCUACUAGAUGGCACACGGACCUCCUGGGUCCGGUAGUCCGCCGCGGGGGUCUCCCGCGUCUGGGCGACACUGUCAGUCUCUCGGGGACGCCUUCCUGGCCACCCGCCGUGAAUCUCCCAAGAUUCAUUCACAGACUAGGUGACGGUGGCCGCGGUCCCAAACGCGGUUAGGAUAUAGCC